AUUCUAGAGUUUGAUCAUGGCUCAGAUUGAACGCUGGCGGCAGGCCUAACACAUGCAAGUCGAACGGUAGCACAGAGAGCUUGCUCUCGGGUGACGAGUGGCGGACGGGUGAGUAAUGUCUGGGAAACUGCCUGAUGGAGGGGGAUAACUACUGGAAACGGUAGCUAAUACCGCAUAACGUCGCAAGACCAAAGAGGGGGACCUUCGGGCCUCUUGCCAUCAGAUGUGCCCAGAUGGGAUUAGCUAGUAGGUGGGGUAACGGCUCACCUAGGCGACGAUCCCUAGCUGGUCUGAGAGGAUGACCAGCCACACUGGAACUGAGACACGGUCCAGACUCCUACGGGAGGCAGCAGUGGGGAAUAUUGCACAAUGGGCGCAAGCCUGAUGCAGCCAUGCCGCGUGUAUGAAGAAGGCCUUCGGGUUGUAAAGUACUUUCAGCGGGGAGGAAGGCGAUAAGGUUAAUAACCUUGUCGAUUGACGUUACCCGCAGAAGAAGCACCGGCUAACUCCGUGCCAGCAGCCGCGGUAAUACGGAGGGUGCAAGCGUUAAUCGGAAUUACUGGGCGUAAAGCGCACGCAGGCGGUCUGUCAAGUCGGAUGUGAAAUCCCCGGGCUCAACCUGGGAACUGCGUUCGAAACUGGCAGGCUGGAGUCUUGUAGAGGGGGGUAGAAUUCCAGGUGUAGCGGUGAAAUGCGUAGAGAUCUGGAGGAAUACCGGUGGCGAAGGCGGCCCCCUGGACAAAGACUGACGCUCAGGUGCGAAAGCGUGGGGAGCAAACAGGAUUAGAUACCCUGGUAGUCCACGCUGUAAACGAUGUCGACUUGGAGGUUGUUCCCUUGAGGAGUGGCUUCCGGAGCUAACGCGUUAAGUCGACCGCCUGGGGAGUACGGCCGCAAGGUUAAAACUCAAAUGAAUUGACGGGGGCCCGCACAAGCGGUGGAGCAUGUGGUUUAAUUCGAUGCAACGCGAAGAACCUUACCUACUCUUGACAUCCAGAGAACUUAGCAGAGAUGCUUUGGUGCCUUCGGGAACUCUGAGACAGGUGCUGCAUGGCUGUCGUCAGCUCGUGUUGGGAAAUGUUGAGUUAAGUCCCGCAACGAGCGCAACCCUUAUCCUUUGUUGCCAGCGGUCCGGCCGGGAACUCAAAGGAGACUGCCAGUGAUAAACUGGAGGAAGGUGGGGAAUGACGCUCAAGUCAUCAUGGCCCUUACGAGUAGGGCUACACACGUGCUACAAUGGCAUAUACAAAGAGAAGCGACCUCGCGAGAGCAAGCGGACCUCAUAAAGUAUGUCGUAGUCCGGAUUGGAGUCUGCAACUCGACUCCAUGAAGUCGGAAUCGCUAGUAAUCGUGGAUCAGAAUGCCACGGUGAAUACGUUCCCGGGCCUUGUACACACCGCCCGUCACACGGUACCAU
Molecule: ribosomal RNA, 1417 nt
Filed under: Klebsiella oxytoca
Lineage: Bacteria; Pseudomonadati; Pseudomonadota; Gammaproteobacteria; Enterobacterales; Enterobacteriaceae
Description: bacterial SSU rRNA
Rfam family: Bacterial small subunit ribosomal RNA
Source: RNAcentral